AUCAAACCAACACCUAUCCACAAGCUAAGCUACUAAAGCUGACAAGCUAUUUCAAAGUUUGGGAGACUAUUUGUGAUGGAUUUUGGGGUUUUCGAUGGUUGGUGGUGGCGAUUCUUCAUGGAUUUGAUUCUCUCUCUUCUUGGUUUUUUGUUGAUCCACCAUUGUUACCACUAAUCUUGUCUUGCAGAUGGCCGUUGAUCA
This 201-nucleotide unclassified non-coding RNA is filed under the name Hevea brasiliensis (rubber tree). The record is from RNAcentral. Lineage: Eukaryota; Viridiplantae; Streptophyta; Magnoliopsida; Malpighiales; Euphorbiaceae.